UCCCGAAUACUUCAGUUCAUUUUUUUUCACGUUUCCUUGAAUUACUCCCAUGCCCUCUCUCUCUCUCCAUUGAAGAUGUGACGUCCUCUGGUGUCGCCGCCGCCGCCGCGGCUCGCGUCGCACGAGCUCCUUCCACCGCCGCUCUCAAUGCGUUUGCUCCUUUCGUCGUCACACGAGCUUUCUCGGCCGUGCACUUGUCUUACGAGCUCCCUCCGCCGCCGCUCUCGCGCUGCUUCUUCUCUCCUCGCCGGAGGUCCGCUGAAGGUUACACCAUUUAUGGUCGAGUGAAGAUCCCCAGCAGCAAGAAUUGUUGCAAGCACGUGAAAAGCAUAAGGAAGAGCAAGUGAUUGCUUUGAAGCACUCUAUGCAAAGUGGAAUGAGACAGAUUUCUACUAGAGCUUUAAUGCCCCCUCCUCGCCCCUCAAACAAGAAGCUGUCAAGUGUCAUCGUCUUCAUUAAUGGUGUGAAUGGAGCAAGUCAGAAGAGAACGAGCCACCAAUGAUGGCAGCAUGCAUUCAAGUCUGCUACCCAUCUCACUGUGUUGCUUUGGAAGCUUAGAUGCUACAUUGAUUCUACUCUAAUUUGAUGGGUGUUAUAUGCUUCGCAGGUUCUGGCUCAUUAUGUAUCUAACCCAUAGUAAAAUUUCCAGAAAAGCAUAUCUAAUCUUUGCAGUUUUAUAUGAAGAGAUUAUUCUAGCCCUAGCAUGUUAAGAUAGAAAUCUCGUUUCCAGGUAUUUUUAUUAUGCUUCCCUUAGAGCUUCUUGUCUACCCACUUUUAAUGAUAUAAUCUAGGAUGAAAAUUUUCUUUUGUCCAAGUUUUAUAUGCUAUGCUUUGUUGUAAUAUUCAUGCAUGUCAUGGUUAUCAUGUCUUUUCGAAACUGGUAAAUGUUAGGCAUAUUUGUAACAGGGACAUGGAAGCUAUGAAGAUCGUACUGAGAUGCUUCGUCUUAUUGUAGAUCUCGUGGAGGCAACUAUCUUUGCUGAUAAUUCAGAAUGGAGAUUGUUACUAGUAGCCAAGGAUACACAGUUGAUAGAUUCCAUUGCUGAAAAACAAUCCCAGAUAUUUUCAGAAAAAUGUAAAUUGUUUCCAGCAGAUGUGCAGAUUCAGUCCAUAUAUCCAUUGCCAGAAGUUUCUGAGCUCGAGGCAAAACUUUCUGAAGAGUAAAAAAUUUGUUGAAUCUUCAACAAAAGGUGGAUGAAUUAGCAUCCAAAGUACAGAACAUUUUAAUGCACUUCUUGUCUUUGGAUAGGUGUAGAAAUUAAUCAGCAGCUUGAAAUCUUCUAUCCGUUGUUUCUGCUUCCAUGCUUAUUAAUUCACCUAGUAAUGUCUUUUAUUUUUCAUUCAUAACUGAAUCAAGCCUAUGAUAAUCCUGUUUUAUUUCUUGAGAGAGAGAGAGAGAGAGAGAGAGAAAGUUAACAAUAUAUCUCGACAUAUUUCAACACUAAUAAUCACCCUCAAACAUUACUUAGCAUUUCUGAUUCUUCCUGUCAAUACUAGAACUGAGUUUCACUUUUGAGAACUCAUUAUAAUUUGGCUUCUUCCUGAAUGUGAAUCAGCAUUGAUAGUCUUGAAUCGUGAUCUUGGAAUUUUCUCGGCUUUCAAAUUUUCAGUGUCAAAGCAACUAUUGAUAGGUAUAAGAAAUAUGUUUAGAUUCAUCUGGUGCUGGAUCUGCUUCCGAGAUUAAUGCUCGGUAUUACCAGCAAGAAGUAGAAAAAUUGUGUGCCCAAAUUAGUAAUCUGCAGAAUAACAAAUUUUGAAUGCUAUUGGGAGUUUGAGACAGAUAUUUCAGCAUUUCAAUAAAAAAUACAAAGAUUCAAUAAAUUUCGGUCUAGAUCCAUCAAACUUGCCUCCAUGAAGCAAAGAAGCAGUGUUAAGGAUGAUGUUAAAUUGAAGAAUUAGAAUAUGUAAAUUUCGGUCUAGAUUCAGCAAACUUGACUCCUCCAUGUCUCUUUUUAUAUUUCUUGAUUUGGUUACAGAAUUACAAUGCAAACAUUAAUAUUUUAAUUUGUUCAUGACUUGCUUGUUUA
Molecule: non-coding RNA, 2027 nt
Organism: Arachis ipaensis
Lineage: Eukaryota; Viridiplantae; Streptophyta; Magnoliopsida; Fabales; Fabaceae
Source: RefSeq, a predicted model, not a curated record